AUUGAACGCUGGCGGCAGGCCUAACACAUGCAAGUCGAGCGGAUGAAGGGAGCUUGCUCCUGGAUUCAGCGGCGGACGGGUGAGUAAUGCCUAGGAAUCUGCCUGGUAGUGGGGGAUAACGUCCGGAAACGGGCGCUAAUACCGCAUACGUCCUGAGGGAGAAAGUGGGGGAUCUUCGGACCUCACGCUAUCAGAUGAGCCUAGGUCGGAUUAGCUAGUUGGUGGGGUAAAGGCCUACCAAGGCGACGAUCCGUAACUGGUCUGAGAGGAUGAUCAGUCAAACUGGAACUGGGACACGGUCCAGACUCCUACGGGGGGCAGCAGUGGGGAAUAUUGGAAAAUGGGCGAAAGCCUGAUCCAGCCAUGCCGCGUGUGGGAAGAAGGUCUUCGGAUUGUAAAGCACUUUAAGUUGGGAGGAAGGGAAGUAAGUUAAUACCUUGCUGUUUUGACGUUACCAACAGAAUAAGCACCGGCUAACUUCGU
RNAcentral lists this ribosomal RNA (483 nucleotides) under uncultured bacterium. RNAcentral describes it as "partial 16S ribosomal RNA". It matches the Rfam family "Bacterial small subunit ribosomal RNA", at positions 30 to 506 of the family's 1533-position model. The record is from RNAcentral.